Molecule: ribosomal RNA, 466 nt
Filed under: uncultured bacterium
Lineage: Bacteria
Description: partial 16S ribosomal RNA
Rfam family: Bacterial small subunit ribosomal RNA
Source: RNAcentral
GAUGAACGCUGGCGGCGUGCUUAACACAUGCAAGUCGAACGAUGAAGCCCAGCUUGCUGGGUGGAUUAGUGGCGAACGGGUGAGUAACACGUGAGUAACCUGCCCUUAACUCUGGGAUAAGCCUGGGAAACUGGGUCUAAUACCGGAUAGGAGCGUCCACCGCAUGGUGGGUGUCGGAAAGAUUUAUCGGUUUUGGAUGGACUCGCGGCCUAUCAGCUUGUUGGUGAGGUAAUGGCUCACCAAGGCGACGACGGGUAGCCGGCCUGAGAGGGUGACCGGCCACACUGGGACUGAGACACGGCCCAGACUCCUACGGGAGGCAGCAGUGGGGAAUAUUGCACAAUGGGCGCAAGCCUGAUGCAGCGACGCCGCGUGAGGGAUGACGGCCUUCGGGUUGUAAACCUCUUUCAGUAGGGAAGAAGCGAAAGUGACGGUACCUGCAGAAGAAGCACCGGCUAACUACGUG